GAUGAACGCUGGCGGCGUGCCUAAUACAUGCAAGUCGAGCGAACGGACGAGAAGCCUGCUUCUCUGAUGUUAGCGGCGGACGGGUGAGUAACACGUGGAUAACCUACGUAUAAGACUGGGAUAACAUCGUGAAACCGGAGCGAAUACCGGAUGAUCUUUUGAACCGCAUGGUUCAAAAGUGAAAGACGGUCUUGCUGUCACUUAUAGAUGGACCCGCGCUGCAUUAGCUAGUUGGUAAGGUAACGGCUUACCAAGGCAACGAUGCAUAGCCGACCUGAGAGAGUGAUCGGCCACACUGGAACUGAGAACCGGUCCAGACUCCUACGGGAGGCAGCAGUAGGGAAUCUUCGGCAAUGAGCGAAGGCCUGCGGGAGCAACGCCGCGUGGGUGAUGAAGGUCUUCGGAUCGUAAAACUCUGUUAUUAGGGAAGAACAUAUGUGUAAGUAAAUGUGCACGUCUUGACGGUACCUAAUCAGAAAGCCACGGCUAACUACGUG
Molecule: ribosomal RNA, 497 nt
Filed under: uncultured bacterium
Lineage: Bacteria
Description: partial 16S ribosomal RNA
Rfam family: Bacterial small subunit ribosomal RNA
Source: RNAcentral